RNAcentral lists this ribosomal RNA (248 nucleotides) under uncultured bacterium. Its description in RNAcentral is "partial 16S ribosomal RNA". It matches the Rfam family "Bacterial small subunit ribosomal RNA", at positions 524 to 776 of the family's 1533-position model. The record is from RNAcentral.
GACAGAGGGUGCGAACGUUGCUCGGAAUUACUGGGCGUAAAGCGUGCGCAGGCGGUUCGCUGUGUCCUGUGUGAAAGCCCCGGGCUUAACCCGGGAAUGGCAUGGGAAACUGGCGGGCUGGAGUGUGGCAGAGGGGUGGAAUUCCGCGUGUAGCAGUGAAAUGCGUAGAGAUGCGGAGGAACACCGAUGGCGAAGGCAGCCCUGGGCUAACACUGACGCUCAGGCACGAAAGCGUGGGAGCAAACAGG